UUUUUCCAGUGUCAGAGUUACAGUAGUUUCUAGAGAAUCAGCAAUGGAGAGACUUCGAUGUCAGAGGAUCGGUUGUAAUGCUACCUUCACUGAGGAUGAUAAUCCUGAAGGCUCAUGCACUUAUCACGAAUCUGGUCCUUUAUUUCAUGAUGGAAUGAAGCAGUGGAGUUGUUGCAAGGAAAAAAGUCAUGAUUUCAGUUUAUUUCUUGAAAUUCCUGGGUGUAAGACAGGAAAGCACACAACAGAAAAACCAGUGAUCGCAACACCAUCCGCUACCAAAAAUAAAGCAGUGCCGGUGCGUGUGCCAGCUCCUAUGACCAAUGCAUCACCGAAAGAAGCCUGUUCUAGAUGCCACCAGGGAUUCUUUUGUUCUGAUCAUGGUUCACGACCCAGAGAAGCAAUUCCAAAAGCAUCAAAUACAGUAACAUCUCUACCUUCUGAGAGCAAUACAGUUAUACAGCAAGACCAUCCAGCUCCAGUGAAAAAAAAAUUUGAUAUAAAUGAGCCCCAAAUUUGUAAAAACAAGAGCUGCGGUAAGACCUUUACAGAAAAGGAAAAUCACGACACUGCUUGUAGUUACCACCCCGGCCCUGCAAUCUUCCAUGACCGGAUGAAAGGAUGGAAAUGCUGUGAUGUUCAUGUCAAAGAAUUUGACGAGUUCAUGACCAUACCUCCAUGCACCAAAGGAUGGCACAACAGUGACCCAGUGUCCUAAUAGACAGGUUCAUGAAUGAGCCACACAUGACUUGUUUGUUGCAUCAUUCAUCGAUCAACUGUCGUUGCUACUCUAGACAUUGACAUAAUUUUACUUUCGGUCCAUCUGCAACUAGUUCUUUGUGUCUGUAAGGUAGACACCUGAGACGAACAAUCUAUAACGUCUGAAUUUUUUGAUAGACAAAUCGGAGAAAUAGCUCAGUCAAUACAUUG
This 927-nucleotide unclassified non-coding RNA is filed under the name Hevea brasiliensis (rubber tree). Lineage: Eukaryota; Viridiplantae; Streptophyta; Magnoliopsida; Malpighiales; Euphorbiaceae. The record is from RNAcentral.